Molecule: ribosomal RNA, 379 nt
Filed under: uncultured bacterium
Lineage: Bacteria
Description: partial 16S ribosomal RNA
Rfam family: Bacterial small subunit ribosomal RNA
Source: RNAcentral
GACGAACGCUGGCGGCGUGCUUAACACAUGCAAGUCGAGCGGCAAGUUUUGUAGCAAUACGAGACUGAGAGUGGCGUAAGGGUGCGUAACACGUAUGCAAUCUACCCUCAACAGGAGUAUAGCUCCCCGAAAGGGGAAUUAACACUCCAUAAUAUCUGAUCAUGGCAUCAUGGACAGAUUAAACUACCAGGGGUUGAGGAUGAGCAUGCGUCUGAUUAGCUAGUUGGCGGGGUAACGGCCCACCAAGGCGAUGAUCAGUAGGGGAACUGAGAGGUUGAUCCCCCANACUGGCAUUGAGAUACGGGCCAGACUCCUACGGGAGGCAGCAGUAGGGAAUAUUGGUCAAUGGGUGAGAGCCUGAACCAGCCAUGCCGCGUGC